RNAcentral lists this long non-coding RNA (349 nucleotides) under Nicotiana tabacum (common tobacco). RNAcentral's name for it is "long non-coding RNA (NTAB_LNC005252)". Lineage: Eukaryota; Viridiplantae; Streptophyta; Magnoliopsida; Solanales; Solanaceae. The record is from RNAcentral.
CCCUCUAAACUUGCACGGUUUGCAGUAAACAAGGCCACGUACAGCUACAGGUUUCCUAGUAAUAGGAGCAGGAUAAGGUGAUGGUGUUGGUGGUUUAACUGGUGGCUUAGCUGGUGGUUUUGAUGGACUAUAAGUGGGAGGCUUAGUUGGUGGUUUAACUGGCGGCUUAGCUGGUGGUUUUGAUGGACUGUAAGUGGGAGGUUUAGUUGGUGGUUUUGAAGGAGUAUAAGAUGGUGAAGGGGCUGGGGAAUAUUUGGGGUGGUGGUAGCCUUUGUGAGCUUUAGGGGCUUCAGCUGGUGGAAAGUGGCCAUGAUGUUUGUCUAUAAACCAACCCCCAAUGCCUUCCUCC